This 58-nucleotide transfer RNA is filed under the name Apaloderma vittatum (bar-tailed trogon). It matches the Rfam family "tRNA", at positions 8 to 63 of the family's 71-position model. Rfam says of the family: Transfer RNA (tRNA) molecules are approximately 80 nucleotides in length. Their secondary structure includes four short double-helical elements and three loops (D, anti-codon, and T loops). Further hydrogen bonds mediate the characteristic L-shaped molecular structure. tRNAs have two regions of fundamental functional importance: the anti-codon, which is responsible for specific mRNA codon recognition, and the 3' end, to which the tRNAs corresponding amino acid is attached (by aminoacyl-tRNA synthetases). tRNAs cope with the degeneracy of the genetic code in two manners: having more than one tRNA (with a specific anti-codon) for a particular amino acid; and 'wobble' base-pairing, i.e. permitting non-standard base-pairing at the 3rd anti-codon position. The record is from Rfam by way of RNAcentral. Lineage: Eukaryota; Metazoa; Chordata; Aves; Trogoniformes; Trogonidae.
UAGCUCAGUCGGUUGAGCAUGAUGCUAACAACACCAAGGUUAUGGGUUCGAUUCCCGU